GCCUCUUUAGCUCAGUCGGUUAGAGCGUCGUGCUAAUAACGCGAAGGUCAUAGGUUCGAUCCCUGUAAGAGGCA
Molecule: transfer RNA, 74 nt
Filed under: Mycoemilia scoparia
Lineage: Eukaryota; Fungi; Kickxellomycota; Kickxellomycetes; Kickxellales; Kickxellaceae
Rfam family: tRNA
About the family: Transfer RNA (tRNA) molecules are approximately 80 nucleotides in length. Their secondary structure includes four short double-helical elements and three loops (D, anti-codon, and T loops). Further hydrogen bonds mediate the characteristic L-shaped molecular structure. tRNAs have two regions of fundamental functional importance: the anti-codon, which is responsible for specific mRNA codon recognition, and the 3' end, to which the tRNAs corresponding amino acid is attached (by aminoacyl-tRNA synthetases). tRNAs cope with the degeneracy of the genetic code in two manners: having more than one tRNA (with a specific anti-codon) for a particular amino acid; and 'wobble' base-pairing, i.e. permitting non-standard base-pairing at the 3rd anti-codon position.
Source: Rfam by way of RNAcentral